RNAcentral lists this ribosomal RNA (780 nucleotides) under Triticum aestivum (bread wheat). RNAcentral describes it as "partial small subunit ribosomal RNA". The record is from RNAcentral. Lineage: Eukaryota; Viridiplantae; Streptophyta; Magnoliopsida; Poales; Poaceae.
AUGCUUAUUGAUAUCGCAAUUGAGUCUGUAAAGGGCUUGAUUUCCUUCUUCACCAAGUACAGAGAAUCUGGCUUUUCAAAAGCAUUGGAAGAUGCAAAAAAAAUUGCAAUGGAGAUGGAUAUUGAUCCAGAGUUCCGCACCAAGCGUCAAAUCAAGAGGAAAAGGCAAUUUGAUGAGGGUGCAGAUGAUCCAUCUAUUGUUUCACAAUCGGCAGAGGAGUCAUUUAGGGUCAAUUAUUUUCUGCAUAUUGUUGAUCAGGCUAUAGUUUCACUUAACACGAGAUUUCAACAGUAUGAAGGGUAUGAAAAAAUAUUUGGUUUCUUGUUUAGUUCAGAUAGGCUGCGAUCCUUGGAUGAUAAGAGUUUGUUGGCUGCUUGUGUUAAUCUUGAAGGUGCACUUAAGAGUGGAGAAAAUAAAGAUAUUGAUGGACUUGAGUUGUGUUGCGAGCUACUUUUUCUCCAAGACUCACUUCAGAAAUCUAUGGGCCCACUUGAUAUUCUGAAUUUUUUGAAGAAGCGCUCCUUAAUCUAUCCUAAUGUUGUUAUUGCAUACAGAAUUUUGUUAACCAUUCCUGUGACGGUUGCAUCCGCAGAAAGGAGCUUUUCUAAACUCAAGUUGUUGAAAUCCUACUUGCGUUCUACUAUGUCACAAGAAAGACUCAAUGGAUUGGCAACUAUAGCACUUGAAAAUGAUAUCUUGGAGAAGAUUAAUUAUGAAGAUUUGAUCGAAGAUUUUAUUUCAAGAAAUACUAGAAGAAUGUUGCUUUUUGGUAGAAAAUGA